GCGUCCACACCUAGGGGCAGUCCAGCUACGCCGUGGAUGACGCCGAAGGACUUGACGUGAUCGCGAGGCUCCAACGAAAGAGUUUGCAAGAAGGGACCACGGAGCGGCCGCCUACGAGAGUCCGCUGCGUACCUGGUCGGCAGCUGUCCCAGCGUGUGCCUGUCGGUCAACCAGCUCUUCUCCAACGUUCGCUGCGUUCGGAGCAUCUCAGGCCAUCACCCGGUGGACCUCGACAAGUCAUGCACGGCCAGCGCAGCCCA
Molecule: unclassified non-coding RNA, 260 nt
Filed under: Dermacentor andersoni
Lineage: Eukaryota; Metazoa; Arthropoda; Arachnida; Ixodida; Ixodidae
Description: uncharacterized LOC126516732
Source: RNAcentral